This is a long non-coding RNA of Papaver somniferum (opium poppy), 1210 nucleotides long. RefSeq lists it as uncharacterized. The transcript is spliced from 3 exons. The record is from RefSeq and is a predicted model, not a curated record. Lineage: Eukaryota; Viridiplantae; Streptophyta; Magnoliopsida; Ranunculales; Papaveraceae.
ACACGUACCUUUAAUCACCCAAAUCACCAACAAUAUCUGUAUCAGUUCUUGGUGUAUUUGAAUUUAUGUUUGCUUUCUCGACUUCGAAGUUAUUUUUAAAGAAGAUAAAAUCUCAUAUUCUACUACAGUCGACAAAUAUGAUCUUCAGUAGUUACUUGCAGUAUGUACACGCUUAAGUCCAAAAAGUGAAAACUAAUCUUAUUUGAUGGUGAAGACUUAAUAGCCUGUUUGGAUAGGAAAACAGAAGCUACUUUUUGACUUCUGUAAGUUGAUAAGUCGAAAGUUAGGGUGGGAAGCGUUUUAUAGAUCGACUUAUAAAAGUCGAAAGACUUUUUUUUGCAGCCGAGAUUUUUGGCUUUCGAUUUCUGAAAGAAGCUGCUUCUACUCGUUAAUUGUGUCCUAAUUUUUCCUUCCUUUCACUUUCCUCGGUAUCUUCUUCCUUCCUCUUCUUCCCUUUCUUCAGAUUCAGAAUAGCCGUGAGAGAAGAACUACAAGCUCUGAAACAAGAACUAGGAUUAAUUAUGGCUUCAAGUUCAAUCCAAGAUGCAAUGCCUUCUUUUGAAGAAGCUAAAGAGGUUCCUGCCAGUUGUCUCUUGUUCAUGAAUCAUUUUUCAUAGAUCUGAUGAUAGUUAAGGUUCAAUCAAGUGGUGAAGAGAGGCAAUUGGGAGUAUUCUCAAAACAUGAUUGGACUGAGGUUUCAUGGAAGCAAUCAGGGAUCCACAAUCAAAGUUCCCCCACCCCCCACCCUCCCUGAAGACUCGGGAUACUCUAAUAUGUUGGGAUAUUUAGCUCCAUAUAGAGGACAGCGGUACCAUCUCAAUGAUUAUCAAGGAAUCGGGGUACCCUGUAGUGCAAGGGGAAAAUUUAACCAUGCACACUCGUCGUUGCGUAAUGUGAUUGAACGGUGUUUUGGUACUCAAAGCUCGCUUUCCUAUUUUGAAGAUGAUUCCGUCUUACAGCUUGCGUAAGCAAAGGAAUAUCGUUAUAGCUUCAUGCGCAAUACAUACAGAAGACGAUGUGACGUGGAUUCUUACCAAGAUGGGGUUCGCCUAGGCAUGUCCAUGUAUUACCGUCUUCCAUUAUGAAAAAUGUGUAUUAACUUUUGGAAUUUUAAACCAUCCCAUACUAGUACAAUUGCAAAACAAUUAUGCUUGGUUUUUAUGGAAUAUAAAAGUUUUCCUUUUUAAGGAUUACUGCAAUAAUACUGUUA